This is a long non-coding RNA of Zingiber officinale, 1054 nucleotides long. RefSeq lists it as uncharacterized. The record is from RefSeq and is a predicted model, not a curated record. The transcript is spliced from 2 exons. Lineage: Eukaryota; Viridiplantae; Streptophyta; Magnoliopsida; Zingiberales; Zingiberaceae.
GAUUAGGAUUUAAUUGACCUAGGCCUUACCCGUUUCUCACGCACCCUUUAUCAAAUUCGCCGGCUCCACGCUUCGCACGACGAUCUACGACGGAACUCUCCACCGAGGAUCGGGACUGCGGCCAAGCAGCUCCUCACGUCGGCGAGCUUGCGGGGAACGACAAGCGGGCUCGUAGACUACAACCUACAUAUCUGCGGCGCAGCUACGGUAGGGUGAGGGCUUCAAUAGAGGGACGCGGGAUGAUAUGGGAUCGGUGAGGUAAGGGAUGGGUAGCUAGGUAGGUUGAUAAAUUGCCAACAAAGUUCGAUUGAUGGUUUUUGUUAUGGAUCGAUUUCUUUUCCGCGAUGUUCUUGUUUCGACUUGAGGCUUUUGUGAUGUUCUUGUCGCGGUUUGUGUUUUUCCUUGAGGUUCUUGCUUUGAUAUGUGAUCUCUAUGACGUUCUUGUUCCAGAUGAUUGCUUCUAUGGGAUUUCGGCAAGAUUUUGGGGCUUUUGAUUGAAUUCGACGUUGCUUUGCUUCGAAACGCUGCAGAUUUGGGUGUUUCAGUGCUUUCCUGAAUUUACCUUGCAAGUGCAUUUCCUUUGUGAUGGUAUGGAUUCAAUGAGGUGAGGGCUAAGUGUUGCAUUUUGAUUUUCGUUGAUGUUGAUGCUUCAUUUGGCGAGUCUUUGUGGUUUCCUGCUACGGAUUUGAGGUGUUUGAAAUCAAGUUUGAUGCUGCCCUAUUUUUCUCAGGUUGGUUUUGAGUUUCUCGACAAAACUCUUAUGGAAUUCGUGCAGCUUUGAUGAUGUUUUACCCCUUUCUAUCUCUGCCAAGGGUCUGGAUAGAUUUAUAGGUUAGGAUGACUCUCAGGAUAUGAUAUGGAGUAGACGAUGAGGCGAGAUGGACGCAUGGUAUUGUCCGAAUGUCUAGAAGUGCAGAGCAUACUGGUUUCAUUGUGAGAGAUUUUUUUUUUAUUAUAUGUAAAGAGGGAUGUUUGGGGAUUAUUGUCCUUAUUCAUUAAACUCCUAAUCGAUGUAGUCAUUUCCCUUGGUUAAGAUAGUACUUCUUGAUGAGCU